CGGACGGAUAGGCCGACGGGCCGAAAACGGGAAUGCCGUCAACCCGCUUCCGUCCGCACCUUAUGACGG
This 69-nucleotide small RNA is filed under the name Methylotuvimicrobium alcaliphilum 20Z. Its description in RNAcentral is "Methylomicrobium alcaliphilum 20Z int-alpA RNA". It matches the Rfam family "int-alpA RNA". From Rfam's summary of the family: Acidobacteria (1 example), Planctomycetes (1 example), Proteobacteria. Environment (Lake Washington) Lineage: Bacteria; Pseudomonadati; Pseudomonadota; Gammaproteobacteria; Methylococcales; Methylococcaceae. The record is from Rfam by way of RNAcentral.